This 253-nucleotide ribosomal RNA is filed under the name uncultured bacterium. RNAcentral describes it as "partial 16S ribosomal RNA". It matches the Rfam family "Bacterial small subunit ribosomal RNA", at positions 524 to 776 of the family's 1533-position model. The record is from RNAcentral.
UAAGAAGGGGGUUAGCGUUGCUCGGAAUCACUGGGCGUAAAGCGCACGUAGGCGGGUUGCUAAGUCAGGGGUGAAAUCCUGGAGCUCAACUCCAGAACUGCCUUUGAUACUGGCGACCUUGAGUCCGGGAGAGGUGAGUGGAACUGCGAGUGUAGAGGUGAAAUUCGUAGAUAUUCGCAAGAACACCAGUGGCGAAGGCGGCUCACUGGCCCGGUACUGACGCUGAGGUGCGAAAGCGUGGGGAGCAAACAGG